Long non-coding RNA from Balaenoptera ricei (Rice's whale), 774 nucleotides. RefSeq lists it as uncharacterized. The record is from RefSeq and is a predicted model, not a curated record. The transcript has 3 exons. NCBI's taxonomy places the organism in Eukaryota, Metazoa, Chordata, Mammalia, Artiodactyla, Balaenopteridae.
GAAAAGAAAACAAAACACUAAGAUUAUUUCUCUAAGGAGUUUCUUACAUUCAGAAAACCAUGCACGGAUGGAGCUGAGUGCUAUAUGAAGGGGUGCAGACCACCCCACUCCUGCCCAGAGUUUGGAGAGGCUGCCGAGGAUGCCUGCAGCCUGGGUGUCAGGGAGGUACGAAGACGGCUCAGGUUUGUAUUCCAGUAAUGCAAUUAGAAGUUGUGUGACUCAUGAAUGUUCAUAGCAGCAUUAUUCAUAAUAACCCAAACUGGGAACAACCUAAAUGUCCAUCAGCUAAUGAAGAGAUAGACAAAAUUGGUAGAUGCUCCAUUGAAUACUACUCAGCAAUAAAAGGGAAGGAACUACUGACACCUGCUUGCUACUUCAUGGAUGAACCACAAACACAUUGUGCUAAGUGAUGGAAGCCAAACACAAACAACUACAUAUUGCUUGAUUCCAUUUCUACAAAACGCCCAGAAAAUGAUUUUGUGAGGAAGGAUGUAGAGGAUGCUGUGUGUGCUCUCAAGAUCCCAUUUAGGACUGAAGGGCUUAUUCCUCCAGCUGCCCACGGCUGGCGCCCUUCCUGGAAGAGCCUUCAGCCAAUGACUCAUCAACUCAAGGCUCAACCAUUUCAGCCAACUUGCUACAAUUCAGAAGACCACCCAGGCUCAGAGCUUCCUGUGGGGUCAGCAGAGGCCUACAUUGAGAAUUCACCCAGCCCAGCUUCUCCCUCUGUCUAUUUUUUUCUUCCCUUCCUUUCCACAGAUGUUGACCCCAAGAGUA